GCCGGGGUGGCUGAGCGGCUCAGGCGGCUGCCUGCAGAGCAGCUUUACGUGGGUUCAACUCCCACCCCCGGCUCCA
RNAcentral lists this transfer RNA (76 nucleotides) under Candidatus Bathyarchaeota archaeon. RNAcentral describes it as "tRNA-Cys". It matches the Rfam family "tRNA". From Rfam's summary of the family: Transfer RNA (tRNA) molecules are approximately 80 nucleotides in length. Lineage: Archaea; Thermoproteati; Candidatus Bathyarchaeota. The record is from RNAcentral.